RNAcentral lists this ribosomal RNA (468 nucleotides) under uncultured bacterium. Its description in RNAcentral is "partial 16S ribosomal RNA". It matches the Rfam family "Bacterial small subunit ribosomal RNA", at positions 28 to 507 of the family's 1533-position model. The record is from RNAcentral.
GACGAACGCUGGCGGCGUGCUUAACACAUGCAAGUCGAACGGAAAGGCCCUGCUUUUGUGGGGUGCUCGAGUGGCGAACGGGUGGGUAACACGUGAGUAACCUGCCCUUGACUUUGGGAUAACUUCAGGAAACUGGGGCUAAUACCGGAUAGGAGCUCCUGCUGCAUGGUGGGGGUUGGAAAGUUUCGGCGGUUGGGGAUGGACUCGCGGCUUAUCAGCUUGUUGGUGGGGUAGUGGCUUACCAAGGCUUUGACGGGUAGCCGGCCUGAGAGGGUGACCGGCCACAUUGGGACUGAGAUACGGCCCAGACUCCUACGGGAGGCAGCAGUGGGGAAUAUUGCACAAUGGGCGGAAGCCUGAUGCAGCAACGCCGCGUGCGGGAUGACGGCCUUCGGGUUGUAAACCGCUUUCGCCUGUGACGAAGCGUGAGUGACGGUAAUGGGUAAAGAAGUACCGGCUAACUACGUG